GAAGCCCCGGCCAACUACGUGCCAGCAGCCGCGGUAACACGUAGGGGGCGAGCGUUGUCCGGAUUUAUUGGGCGUAAAGAGCUCGUAGGCGGCUCAGUAAGUCUACUGUGAAAGCUCCAGGCUCAACCUGGAGAGGCCAGUGGAUACUGCUGUGGCUAGAGUCCGGUAGGGGAGCGUGGAAUUCCCAGUGUAGCGGUGGAAUGCGCAGAUAUUGGGAGGAACACCAGCGGCGAAGGCGGCGCUCUGGACCGGAACUGACGCUGAGGAGCGAAAGCAUGGGUAGCAAACAGGAUUAGAUACCCUGGUAGUCCAUGCCGUAAACGUUGGGCACUAGGUGUGGGAUCCCGUCAACGGAUUCCGUGCCGUAGCUAACGCAUUAAGUGCCCCGCCUGGGGAGUACGGCCGCAAGGCUAAAACUCAAAGGAAUUGACGGGGGCCCGCACAAGCGGCGGAGCAUGUUGCUUAAUUCGAGGCAACGCGAAGAACCUUACCAGCUUUUGAC
RNAcentral lists this ribosomal RNA (502 nucleotides) under uncultured bacterium. RNAcentral's name for it is "bacterial SSU rRNA". It matches the Rfam family "Bacterial small subunit ribosomal RNA", at positions 487 to 985 of the family's 1533-position model. The record is from RNAcentral.